Molecule: long non-coding RNA, 1194 nt
Filed under: Oryzias sinensis (Chinese medaka)
Lineage: Eukaryota; Metazoa; Chordata; Actinopteri; Beloniformes; Adrianichthyidae
Description: lncRNA (ENSOSIG00000021057.1)
Source: RNAcentral
AAUGUGUGGGAGAACGUUCUCUUCACACAACAGGAUUUUAUGGUCAUAAUAAUGAUAGCGAUGAGUUUGGAGUGUUAGAUGGGCUGCUCUGCAUUAAUAUUCUAGUGCAACAUUUGGUUUCCCUCCACUAGAUACUCAUUUUCUGUUAUUUUGUUUUAGUGGAAAGAAAUCCAUCACAAGGCCAGCGCCACCGUGACGAUCAGCUCCAUGAAAGAAGAAAGAUUCAGACCACCACUUUUUUUUACCCCUUUGUGUGGUUUUUCAUCAUCUGUGAACAAGACAAAGGGAAGAUGAAGGAGAAGGAACGUUUCUCAGAGGACAUGAAUUACUGCCUGCCUCUGGACAAAACCGCCACCAUAUCUUUUAAUCAUCAGAGGAAGCCCCGCACAAAACAACGCCAGUGAAGUUGAAGAACAGAUCAGUUGAAAGUGUCCCUUGUUAUUUCUCCACCUUUUUUCUUCUUCAAAGCUGAAUACGCUCCUCAAAAUGUCGCCGAAAAUCAAGUUCCAUUAUGAGGAAACGAAGCAUCGUUGGUUUCCAUUAAACGCCCUCACAAAUCAUUCAGAGACGGCUGGGGGAGCACCACGGUUUCCCAUGAUUGGUCUACAAAUCAAACAAGGUGAGCCAUAAAAAAAAAUAAAACUGUAAGGGAUGUUUGUUUCCUGGCUCUUUCUUUUCAUUCUUCAGUCCAUGUGAUAAAUAUUAGCUUUGAUUUUUUUUAAUCUUCACAUGUAUUUGUAAGCUCAAAGUCAAAGUUGUGACACCAGCACUGCAAAAACAGAAUCUUAAGAAAGUAUUAAGACCUUUGUUUCAAGAAAAAAUUAUUAUUUUCUGUCCUACAUUAAAGAUAAUCUUUCAAGAAAGUUUUUUAAUAGCAAAUUAAUCUUAGUUUAAGAAACUGACAGGAAUUUCUUUUCAUAAAAUAGGAACUCUUGAGAUUUUUCAAUUUAUUUCUAUGGGGCUUGUUUUAAAAAAAUCAGAGGUUAAAGGCGGAAAGGACUUCUGUACUUUCACUUUCAAGCUUCUCUCCUCUGUUGCUGUGGCAAAAAAUGAUGAUAAAACUAAUCUGAAAGUAUUUUGAGUAAAUAGAAACACACUGCAAAAGGUUUGGAACUCAAAGAGAGAUUUUGAUUGGUGCAGAUAACCGGGUUUUUUCCUGAAAGACGAUCUACAGUGAAAUUCAGCAAAGCAAAG